Molecule: ribosomal RNA, 310 nt
Filed under: uncultured bacterium
Lineage: Bacteria
Description: bacterial SSU rRNA
Rfam family: Bacterial small subunit ribosomal RNA
Source: RNAcentral
GGCCGCGGGAAUUCGAUUGGGAUCAAAGGAGCAAUUCGCUUAAGGAGGGGGUCGCGGCUGAUUAGCUAGUUGGCGGGGUAACGGCCCACCAAGGCGAUGAUCGGUAGCCGGCCUGAGAGGGCGCACGGCCACACUGGAACUGAAACACGGUCCAGACUCCUACGGGAGGCAGCAGUGGGGAAUUUUGCGCAAUGGGGGAAACCCUGACGCAGCAACGCCGCGUGGAGGAUGAAGUCCCUUGGGACGUAAACUCCUUUCGACCGGGACGAUGAUGACGGUACCGGUGGAAGAAGCCCCGGCUAACUUCGUG